Molecule: ribosomal RNA, 510 nt
Filed under: Triticum aestivum (bread wheat)
Lineage: Eukaryota; Viridiplantae; Streptophyta; Magnoliopsida; Poales; Poaceae
Description: partial small subunit ribosomal RNA
Source: RNAcentral
AUGAUUUCUUACAUAACUGAAGAGAACAAAAGGAGAAAGAGGAAAAGGAUAAUCUUAACAGAACUUUACUUUGAAUCGGUUCUUCUUGGAAUGGCAUACCUUAUUUCACAGAGAGCACCUCGUUCUUCAGCUAGUUUUAGUGAUGAUGAGCAAAAAUACACACUUAGGAAGUACUUGUUGAAAGCAUGCUAUGAUCAACUACGUUUAACGAAAAGAAACUUUCAUGAUUUGUGCACCAUGUUGCGAUGCUAUAUUGUGAAUGUUGGAGACAUGAAAGGUUCUUUCCAAGAUGCUAUGAAAUCACUUGAGCCUCUAGAACUGCCCAAGGUUACUCCUCCUCUUGAAAUCCUUGCUGCCCUUGAAAAGAUCCCAGACUUGGCUCGUUUAGACAUGUUGCGAGCAUAUGGUAAACUUAUCCUUAGUGAACGCUUAUUUCAAGCGCUUAUGGAGUUGCCCAUGGAGUUUAGGAAGGAAUGGUUGUUGAUGCUCAAUGAGAAGAACAACGUUUGA